GUGGGGAAUCUUGCGCAAUGGGCGAAAGCCUGACGCAGCCAUGCCGCGUGAAUGAUGAAGGUCUUAGGAUUGUAAAAUUCUUUCACCGGGGACGAUAAUGACGGUACCCGCAGAAUAAGCCCCGGCUAACUUCGUGCCAGCAGCCGCGGUAAUACGAAGGGGGCUAGCGUUGUUCGGAAUUACUGGGCGUAAAGCGCACGUAGGCGGAUUGACAAGUCAGGGGUGAAAUCCCGGGGCUCAACCUUGGGAUUGCCGUUGAUACUGGCGUGGUGAAGUUUGGAAGAGGUGAGUGGAACUCCGAGUGUAGAGGUGAAAUUCGUAGAUAUUCGGAAGAACACCAGUGGCGAAGGCGACUCACUGGCCCAAUACUGACGCUGAGGCGCGAAAGCGUGGGGAGCAAACAGGAUUAGAAACCCGGGUAGUCC
Molecule: ribosomal RNA, 425 nt
Filed under: uncultured bacterium
Lineage: Bacteria
Description: partial 16S ribosomal RNA
Rfam family: Bacterial small subunit ribosomal RNA
Source: RNAcentral